GGGAUUCCGACGAAGUGAUGCCUCAUUUCCUCUGGAAACACAACAGGGAGCUGUAUAAAAGGCCCACCACCCCAGACCUCUCCAUUCAAUCGCUGGGUUCCUCAACCACACAAGUCUCCAUUCACCACUGAACAAGGCUACCUUCCACUCGCAAAGAUGGGUAAUUGCAAUGCGUGCGGUGGCUAUUCAGACGAAGGACCAGACGUCAUUUGCAUCCCCUGCGGUGGUGGCAACAACGGUUGCAACUCGUGCUGUUCUCCCAUGACCUACUCUUCCUCCAUGAGCUAUGGUGGUUGCCAGUGCUAUGGCUGUGGCGGCUGUGGCGGCUGCAAUGGUGGCGGCUGCAAUGGCGGCUGCUCUGUCUACGUAAUCUCUAAUGGAAGAAGGUCCUCCUGCUGUGGCAUGUGAUACUUUGGACAUUCAACUCAGCCCAUAGCAACAACAGGACCUGUCCAACUUCUGGAAUAACCUCAACACCUUCAACGUUCCUUUGAAGACCUGUUGGUUGACCUCCCGUUGUCCUCUUUGCUUGCUCAAAAAUAGUUAAGUUUUCCACCUGCUUCUAAUAAUAAUGCCCUUUAUCUUCUUCUCUUUGUAAGAGAUUUUUCCCCAACAAGUCCUAAGCAAAGGAGGCAUGGCCAUUGCAUAGACUUGGAUGGGUAUGGUUUCCUUUGUUCCCCAUCUUUCUGAGCUAUGGGAUUGUCUUGUCCUUCACACUGUUGCAUGAAUAAUAAACAUAAUAAAAAUUGGUUGGUUGACCUCCCAUUCUCCUCUUUGCUAACUCAAAACCUGUUAAGCUUUCCACCUGCCUCUUCUGAUAAUGCUCUCAUUAUCUUCUUCUCUUUGGAGGAGUUUUCUUCCCUGAACAAAUCCUCAUAAGCAAAGGAGGCAUGACUAUUGCGUAGAAUUUGAUGGGUAGGCGUUCCUUUCACCCCGUCUUUCUGGGCUAUGGAAUUGUCUUGUAGUUUGUACUGCUGCAUGGAUAAUAAUAAUAAAAAUGGAUCUAAUAUA
Molecule: long non-coding RNA, 1011 nt
Organism: Rhineura floridana
Lineage: Eukaryota; Metazoa; Chordata; Lepidosauria; Squamata; Rhineuridae
Exons: 3
Source: RefSeq, a predicted model, not a curated record